AGAGGACCGGAGUGGACGCAUCACUGGUGUUCGGGUUGUCAUGCCAAUGGCACUGCCCGGUAGCUAAAUGCGGAAGAGAUAAGUGCUGAAAGCAUCUAAGCACGAAACUUGCCCCGAGAUGAGUUCUCCCUGACCCUUUAAGGGUCCUGAAGGAACGUUGAAGACGACGACGUUGAUAGGCCGGGUGUGUAAGCGCAGCGAUGCGUUGAGCUAACCGGUACUAAUGAACCGUGAGGCUUAACCUU
Molecule: ribosomal RNA, 245 nt
Filed under: Escherichia coli
Lineage: Bacteria; Pseudomonadati; Pseudomonadota; Gammaproteobacteria; Enterobacterales; Enterobacteriaceae
Also listed under: 1 other name
Description: partial 23S ribosomal RNA
Rfam family: Bacterial large subunit ribosomal RNA
Source: RNAcentral